Molecule: transfer RNA, 22 nt
Filed under: Gobiodon brochus
Lineage: Eukaryota; Metazoa; Chordata; Actinopteri; Gobiiformes; Gobiidae
Description: partial tRNA-Pro
Source: RNAcentral
ACAUAUAUGUAUAUACCCCAUA